Molecule: ribosomal RNA, 497 nt
Filed under: uncultured bacterium
Lineage: Bacteria
Description: partial 16S ribosomal RNA
Rfam family: Bacterial small subunit ribosomal RNA
Source: RNAcentral
GAUGAACGCUGGCGGCGUGCCUAAUACAUGCAAGUCGAGCGAACAGACGAGGAGCUUGCUCCUUCGACGUUAGCGGCGGACGGGUGAGUAACACGUAGGUAACCUACCUAUAAGACUGGGAUAACUUCGGGAAACCGGAGCUAAUACCGGAUAAUAUUUCGAACCGCAUGGUUCGAUAGUGAAAGAUGGCUUUGCUAUCACUUAUAGAUGGACCUGCGCCGUAUUAGCUAGUUGGUAAGGUAACGGCUUACCAAGGCAACGAUACGUAGCCGACCUGAGAGGGUGAUAGGCCACACUGGAACUGAGACACGGUCCAGACUCCUACGGGAGGCAGCAGUAGGGAAUCUUCCGCAAUGGGCGAAAGCCUGACGGAGCAACGCCGCGUGAGUGAUGAAGGUCUUCGGAUCGUAAAACUCUGUUAUUAGGGAAGAACAAACGUGUAAGUAACUGUGCACGUCUUGACGGUACCUAAUCAGAAAGCCACGGCUAACUACGUG